This 578-nucleotide ribosomal RNA is filed under the name Lychnorhiza lucerna. RNAcentral describes it as "partial 16S large subunit ribosomal RNA". It matches the Rfam family "Bacterial large subunit ribosomal RNA", at positions 1831 to 2574 of the family's 2925-position model. The record is from RNAcentral. Lineage: Eukaryota; Metazoa; Cnidaria; Scyphozoa; Rhizostomeae; Lychnorhizidae.
GCCUCAUUUUAUGAAUAUGAGGUGAGACCUGCUCAAUGGCUACAAAUAAAAAAUAAUAGUAGUUAAAUAGCCGCGGUAACUCUGACCGUGAUAAAGUAGCAUAAUCACUCGUCAUUUAAUUGAUGACUGGAAUGAACGGUUACACGAAUCUUUAACUGUCUCGGUAGUAAAUUUAUUAAAAUUGAAAUAAUAGUGAAGAUGCUAUUUAUUAAUUGUAAGACGAAAAGACCCUAUCGAGCUUUACUAAAUACCUGGACCUAAAAUUUUUAACAAUAAUUUACUAACAAAUUUUCUAGGUUAAUUAGUUUGGUUGGGGCGACCACCUCUAAAAUAGUAUCAGAGGAAAUCAAAAGGUGAAUAAAAAUAUAAACUGCCUUACUGUAUACAUACCUGUUAAUCAGUUACUAAUAAGUAGGAUAUAAUGACCCGUUAAAUUUAUUUUUCAGUUUAACGACUAUGAAAAAAGUUACCGUAGGGAUAACAGGGUAAUAUUCCUAGAGAGUUCAUAUCGAUAGGAAUGUUUGCCACCUCGAUGUUGAAUUGUGAUAUCCUAAAGGUGUAGCAGCUUUUAAGGGUUG